UAGUUAUUGUGAUAUUGGCUUGGUUCACUCAGACAAAUAAAAUACUACAGUUUUAUUUUUACUGACUGUGGGUUAUGUUAUGGUUUUGAUUGAGCCGUGCCAAUAUCUCAGUGCUAUUU
Non-coding RNA from Lupinus albus (white lupine), 119 nucleotides. NCBI's taxonomy places the organism in Eukaryota, Viridiplantae, Streptophyta, Magnoliopsida, Fabales, Fabaceae. The record is from the annotation of a GenBank genome assembly.